This 45-nucleotide non-coding RNA is filed under the name Schistosoma mattheei. The record is from RNAcentral. Lineage: Eukaryota; Metazoa; Platyhelminthes; Trematoda; Strigeidida; Schistosomatidae.
AUUCAACUGAUGAGUCCUAGAUAGAAAGAAACGUGCGUCCUGGAU